CCGUGCAAGGGUAACGAGCACCGUGCAAUGGGUAAUGGGCACCGUGCAAGGGUAACAAGCACCGUGCAAGGGUAACGAGCACCAUGCAAUGGGUAACGGGCACCGUGCAAGGGUAACGAGCAACGUGCAAUGGGUAAUGGGCACCGUGCAAGGGUAACGAGCAACGUGCAAGGGUAAUGGGCACCAUGCAAGGGGUAAUGGGCACCGUGCAAGGGUAACGAGCAACGUGCAAUGGGUAAUGGACACCGUGCAAGGGGUAACGGGCACCGUGCAAGGGUAACGAGCACCGUGCAAGGGGUAACAGGCAACGUGCAAGGGUAACGAGCACCGUGCAAGGGUAACGAGCACCGUGCAAGGGUAACGAGCACUGUGCAAUGGGUAAUGAGCACCGUGCAAUCGGUAACAGGCAUUGUGCACUGUGCAAUAGGUAAAGAGCACCAUGGAAGGGAUAACGAGCACUGUGCAAUGGGUAACGGGCACCGUGCAAUAGGUAAAGAGCACCAUGCAAUGUUCAAUGGGUAACGAGCUCUGUGCAAUGGGUAGAGAGCACCAUGGACCGUGCAGGGGGUAAUGAGCACUGGGCACAGGGCACUGGGGACCCGCAGGUACUUUUCCUGCCACUUGCAUCCUUUUUUAUGCCAGUUCUGUAUUUUUUUAUACCAGUUUCAUGCUUUUUUUAUGCAGUUUCCACCCCUUUUUAUACCAUUUUCAUCCAUUUUUACGCCAUUUCCAUCCCUUUUUUUGCCAGUUCCAUCCUGUUUCCUGCCACUUCCAACCUCUUUUAUACCAAUUCCAUCCUUUUUUAUGCCAUUUCCGUCCCUUCUUUACACUGUUUCCGUCCCUUUUUAUACCAUUUCCAUCCCUUUUUUAUGCCUCUUCCAUCCCUUUUUACACCGUUUCCAUCCCCCUUUUACAGCACUUCCACCCCCUAUUUAUACCACUUCCAUCCUUUCUCCUACCACUUUCGUCCUUUUUAUACCAGUUCCCUUUUUUAUGCCAGUUCCACCCCCUUUUUAUACCAGUCCCAUCCUUUUUAUGCCACUUCCAUCCUGUUUUAUACCAAUUCCAUCCCUUUUUACACCAUUUCCGUCCCUUUUAAUGCCAUCCCUUUUUAUGCCAGUUCCGUCCCUUUUUAUACCAUUUCCAUCCCUUUUUUAUGCCGCUUCCAUCCCUUUUCCUACCACUUCCAUCCCUUUCCUACCAGCCCCAUCCUUUUUUGCACCAGCUCCAUCCCCUUUCCCACCUGUUCCACGCAGGGGCAGCAGCAUCGCCUGCUCUCACGUGAAACCACGCAAAAACUCCUGGAAACAUCUCACUCCUCGCUGCCCAUCCUCCCGCAGACAGCAAAGCUGCAGGGGGACCCAUUUAUUUCGGGCUUCUCCAUCCAAGGUGCGUGCAACCACAGCUCCUGGCUGAGUUUUGGGGUUGGGUUUGUGGAGGGAUGGGUUUUUGGGGGGGGGGGUUGUGACCCCAGCACUAUUUAUCUUAGUGUCCACAAAUUGCAGCCUGCUCCUUUGCAAAACCAGCGCACCGAGGCGCGUGUUGGCUUGCAGAAGCAGCCUUGCAAGUCGCAUUGGAAAAGCUCAGGGAUCUGCUUCCUUACGAGAGCAACAAAAUAG
Molecule: long non-coding RNA, 1619 nt
Organism: Anser cygnoides (Swan goose)
Lineage: Eukaryota; Metazoa; Chordata; Aves; Anseriformes; Anatidae
Source: Ensembl